CCUACGGGCGGCAGCAGUAGGGAAUUUUCGGCAAUGGGGGGAACCCUGACCGAGCAACGCCGCGUGACGGAAGAAGGAAUUCGUUCUGUAAACUUCUGUUAUAAAGGAAGAAAGACGGAUGGAGGAAAUGACAUCCGAGUGACGGUACUUUAUGAGAAAGCAUCGGCUAACUCCGUGCCAGCAGCCGCGGUAAUACGGAGGAUGCGAGCGUUAUCCGGAUUUAUUGGGUUUAAAGGGUGCGUAGGCGGGCUGUUAAGUCAGCGGUAAAAGCCCGGGGCUCAACCCCGGCGAGCCGUUGAAACUGGCUGUCUUGAGAUGUCGAGAGGUAUGCGGAAUGCGCAGUGUAGCGGUGAAAUGCUUAGAUAUUGCGCAGAACUCCGAUUGCGAAGGCAGCAUACCGGCGGCGAUCUGACGCUGAGGCACGAAAGCGUGGGUAUCGAACAGGAUUAGAUACCCUGGUAGUC
This 464-nucleotide ribosomal RNA is filed under the name uncultured bacterium. RNAcentral describes it as "partial 16S ribosomal RNA". It matches the Rfam family "Bacterial small subunit ribosomal RNA", at positions 338 to 795 of the family's 1533-position model. The record is from RNAcentral.